Long non-coding RNA from Vidua chalybeata, 514 nucleotides. RefSeq lists it as uncharacterized. The transcript is spliced from 3 exons. Lineage: Eukaryota; Metazoa; Chordata; Aves; Passeriformes; Viduidae. The record is from RefSeq and is a predicted model, not a curated record.
AGCUGCAUUGGGACAUCAAAAUUACACUGCUGACAGCUGCAUCAACACCUUGCCAACAGCUCUCCCGAGCAAAGCCAACUGGAGGCCCAGGGAUGGCAGCAGCACUGCAUCCUGAUCUGAACAAUCCCUACAAUUACCAAGAGGGCAUUGUCUCCCUCUCCACCCGCACACAGUAUCAAAGACUCUGUGUCCAUCUUGCGGAAUCUGGGGGAUUGAGUUAAUAAAGCGCAGUUUAGAUCCCGCACCACAAGAGGACACUCCUCCCACAGUAAUUGUUCAAACUACACAGCUCAUUUUCAAGGAAGUCGCGUCCUGGUGUUUUCUACUGACAAGGCUGAAGAAAUCCCGCUAAGACAGCAGCACCGAGAGACUUGCAGGAGACACAGCUUGAACCGUUUUCCUCUGUCCUUAUCUGAUACAGAAUUACACAGGUCCCUUAAAUAACCCUCAAAUAAAAGCCACCAAUCACAGAUCUGAGAUCACUGUGAAGGAGACUAAAUAUCAGAUAACCCAG